UACGGGGGGGGCAAGCGUUGUUCGGAAUUACUGGGCGUAAAGGGCGCGUAGGCGGCCUGCUAAGUCGGACGUGAAAUCCCUCGGCUCAACCGGGGAACUGCGUCCGAUACUGGCGAGCUUGAAUCCGGGAGAGGGAUGUGGAAUUCCAGGUGUAGCGGUGAAAUGCGUAGAUAUCCGGAAGAACACCUGAGGCGAAGGCGGCUUGCUGGGCCUGAUCUGACGCUGGGGUGCGAAAGCGUGGGGAGCGAACGGG
RNAcentral lists this ribosomal RNA (253 nucleotides) under uncultured bacterium. RNAcentral's name for it is "partial 16S ribosomal RNA". It matches the Rfam family "Bacterial small subunit ribosomal RNA", at positions 524 to 776 of the family's 1533-position model. The record is from RNAcentral.